CUCGACGGCCACGCCACCCCGAAUGUGCUCAAUCUCGUCCGCUCUCGGAAGCUAAGCAGGGUCGGGCCUGGUUGGUACUUGGAGGGGAGACCACCUAGGAAGACCGGGUGCUGUCGGUG
RNAcentral lists this ribosomal RNA (119 nucleotides) under Pteropus alecto (black flying fox). The record is from RNAcentral. Lineage: Eukaryota; Metazoa; Chordata; Mammalia; Chiroptera; Pteropodidae.